UGGGGAAUAUUGCACAAUGGGGGAAACCCUGAUGCAGCGACGCCGCGUGAACGAAGAAGGUAUUCGUAUCGUAAAGUUCUGUCCUAUGGGAAGAUAAUGACAGUACCAUAGAAGAAAGCUCCGGCUAAAUACGUGCCAGCAGCCGCGGUAAUACGUAUGGAGCGAGCGUUGUCCGGAAUUAUUGGGCGUAAAGGGUACGCAGGCGGUUUAAUAAGUCGAAUGUUAAAGAUCGGGGCUCAACCCCGCAAAGCAUUGGAAACUGAUAAACUUGAGUAGUGGAGAGGAAAGUGGAAUUCCUAGGGUAGUGGUGAAAUACGUAGAUAUUAGGAGGAAUACCAGUAGCGAAGGCGACUUUCUGGACACAAACUGACGCUGAGGUACGAAAGCGUGGGGAGCAAACAGG
RNAcentral lists this ribosomal RNA (403 nucleotides) under bacterium. RNAcentral describes it as "partial 16S ribosomal RNA". It matches the Rfam family "Bacterial small subunit ribosomal RNA", at positions 355 to 776 of the family's 1533-position model. The record is from RNAcentral.